AUUGAACGCUGGCGGCAUGCCUUACACAUGCAAGUCGAACGGCAGUGGACCUUCGGGUGCCGGCGAGUGGCGAACGGGUGAGUAAUAUAUCGGAACGUACCUUUCAGUGGGGGAUAACGUAGCGAAAGUUACGCUAAUACCGCAUAUUCUGUGAGCAGGAAAGCAGGGGAUCGCAAGACCUUGCGCUGAUUGAGCGGCCGAUAUCAGAUUAGCUAGUUGGUGAGGUAAAGGCUCACCAAGGCGACGAUCUGUAGCGGGUCUGAGAGGAUGAUCCGCCACACUGGGACUGAGACACGGCCCAGACUCCUACGGGAGGCAGCAGUGGGGAAUUUUGGACAAUGGGCGGCAAGCCUGAUCCAGCCAUGCCGCGUGCAGGAAGAAGGCCUCGGUUGUAACGUAGA
Molecule: ribosomal RNA, 401 nt
Filed under: uncultured bacterium
Lineage: Bacteria
Description: bacterial SSU rRNA
Rfam family: Bacterial small subunit ribosomal RNA
Source: RNAcentral